UGGUUCAGGCAUCGAUGAAGAACGCAGCGAAAUGCGAUAAGUAAUGUGAAUUGCAGAAUUUUGUGAAUCAUCGAAUCUUUGAACGCACAUUGCACCUUUUGGUAUUCCGAAAGGUAUGCUUGUUCGAGCGUCGUUUAAACUAUAUUCAAUUUAAUUAUUGAAUGACUUGAGGUAUUUUGAUAAAACAAAAGCCUUUAAAAUAAUUGCCGCGAUUUUAAUACCGAAAACUCAUCAAUGCAUUUAAUUUUUCAUUGAUAAAUUAUUAGGACUACCAAAAUCUGCCAAAAAUUAAUCAAUUUUUCAUAAAUCGACCUCGAAUCAAGUAGGAUUACCCGCUGA
This 339-nucleotide unclassified non-coding RNA is filed under the name uncultured fungus. Its description in RNAcentral is "partial contains 5.8S ribosomal RNA and internal transcribed spacer 2". The stretch from base 1 to 133 matches the Rfam family "5.8S ribosomal RNA", at positions 22 to 154 of the family's 154-position model. The record is from RNAcentral. Lineage: Eukaryota; Fungi.